Molecule: long non-coding RNA, 1142 nt
Filed under: Monodelphis domestica (gray short-tailed opossum)
Lineage: Eukaryota; Metazoa; Chordata; Mammalia; Didelphimorphia; Didelphidae
Description: lncRNA (ENSMODG00000040545.1)
Source: RNAcentral
AUUGUUCAAGGAAACAGUGAGAAAUUAAAGCAAGGCAGCUUUAUUGCAGGUAAAUAGAAUAAAGAAGGGCAAUCAGGGACAUUGGAAGCAGGUCAGAUCUGUUGGGUCUUGAUGUUGGGAGAAUACAAAACUGCUAAAUCUAAUGGCUUUUUAUGGAAUCUGAAAUAAAAAGCAGGACCAGAUAUUAGGGGAAAUAUCAAAGAACCUAGAUCUUUGGUCUAACCUAAUUUAGGCUAGGGUAGAACAUCUGGGGAAUUGCCCUCUAGUUUAAUAUUCAACGUCUCCACAGAUAUGUAAAGCAUCUUUCUGCCAUUUCUGCAGGCAUACCUUGGGUAGGGUAACUGAAAGAGUUUUAAUUUCCAAAGAACUUCAUUUCUCUGAGAAGGCUACAAAUGACCUUGAGGGAACUGAAAAAAAAAGGCAAAAGAAGUUCAAGACUAGGCCCAAGAUGCCCCUUUGGCAACCUGGUAAAGGCUAUACAUCUCUUCUCAGAAUAAUAGUUUGUAGCCUGUAUUUAUGAAUGAAGUGUAAUUUGACUUCCCUGACUCUCACUUCCUGAAGGAUAAAUUAGAGGCAAUCUCCAGAGAAGGCACCAGCAUUAAGAAGACUUAGGAAGACUUAUUCUGGAAGGAAGGAUUUUAGCUGACUUAAAGGAAUCCAGUAAAGCCAAAAAGCAGAGAUGAGGAAGAAGAAAAUUCCAAGUUGGCUGGGAAAAUACAAAGAAUAAGGAACUGGAAUGUCUUUUUUUUGAGAAACAGAAAUGAGUCCAGUGUCAUUGGAUCAUAGAGUACAUGGAUAGAGGUAAUUAAGAAGACUAGAAAAUUAGAUGGUGGUAAGGAGAUCAUAUGGAGAGAAAAGAAGAGAAAAUCAAAUUGUGAAGAAUUCUGGGUCACUUCAAUGCUGUGAUGAGGAACCAAAAGGGGAUUUAAUGGUUCAUUUAAGAACUUAAAUAAUUUUACUUUUAAUGGACUUUAAAAAGACUUGUUCAUAUCCUGAUAUGUUUUUGCAUUUUAUAGUUUGAAAAUGAAUGUAGUAACAAUGCUUUCUGUUCUUCUGAGUGUUCAGUCAAAACACCAUUUUCAAAUUAUUGUGUACACAUUAUAAAAUUUUCCCUUCAGUAACUAGUUGCACUAAUUGAAUAA